Molecule: non-coding RNA, 190 nt
Filed under: Pseudomonadota bacterium
Lineage: Bacteria; Pseudomonadati; Pseudomonadota
Also listed under: 1 other name
Description: 6S RNA
Rfam family: 6S / SsrS RNA
About the family: E. coli 6S RNA was the first non coding RNA to be sequenced, but its function was unknown until recently. It consists of 184 nucleotides that fold into an extended hairpin structure with a large single-stranded internal bulge.
Source: RNAcentral
UGGGCCCUGCGGUGCGCGUGAUUGGUCGAGGAAGUUUUGAGCCGACACUCAAAAUUAUAGGAGCCCUGUCUCGAGCGCUUCCAAGUGGCAGUCUCGGUUUGCCGAGAAAUCGCGAGGAACGCCGGGGGGCACCGCCCUGGUUCGCUGGGGUUCAAAAACUCGGUAGACACACGGCACAUGCGGGGCUCUG